AGUGAACGCUGGCGGUAGGCCUAACACAUGCAAGUCGAACGGCAGCACAGGAGAGCUUGCUCUCUAGGUGGCGAGUGGCGGACGGGUGAGGAAUACAUCGGAAUCUGCCCAGUCGUGGGGGAUAACGUAGGGAAACUUACGCUAAUACCGCAUACGACCUUCGGGUGAAAGAGGGGGAUCGCAAGACCUCUCGCGAUUGGAUGAGCCGAUGUCGGAUUAGCUAGUUAGCGGGGUAAUGGCCCACCAAGGCGACGAUCCGUAGCUGGUCUGAGAGGAUGAUACGCCCAACUGGAACUGAAAACCGGUCAGAACUCCUAGGGGGGGCAGCGGUGGGGAAUAUUGGAAAAGGGGGGCAAGCCUGACCCAGCCAUCCCGGGGGGGUGAAGAAGGCCUUGGGGUUGAAAAGCCCUUUUGUUGGGAAAAAAAUUUUUCAGGCUAAUACCCUGGGAGGAUGACGGUACCCAAAGAAUAAGCACCGGCUAACUUCGU
This 489-nucleotide ribosomal RNA is filed under the name uncultured bacterium. Its description in RNAcentral is "partial 16S ribosomal RNA". It matches the Rfam family "Bacterial small subunit ribosomal RNA", at positions 29 to 506 of the family's 1533-position model. The record is from RNAcentral.